GCCGAAGUGGCGGAAUUGGUAGACGCGUUGGUUUCAAAAACCAAUGAACUUCACGUUCGUGCCGGUUCGAUUCCGGCCUUCGGUACCA
This 88-nucleotide transfer RNA is filed under the name Candidatus Marinamargulisbacteria bacterium SCGC AG-343-D04. Its description in RNAcentral is "tRNA-Leu". It matches the Rfam family "tRNA". Rfam says of the family: Transfer RNA (tRNA) molecules are approximately 80 nucleotides in length. Their secondary structure includes four short double-helical elements and three loops (D, anti-codon, and T loops). The record is from RNAcentral. Lineage: Bacteria; Bacillati; Candidatus Margulisiibacteriota; Candidatus Marinamargulisbacteria.